RNAcentral lists this ribosomal RNA (30 nucleotides) under Laccaria bicolor. RNAcentral's name for it is "partial 28S ribosomal RNA". The record is from RNAcentral. Lineage: Eukaryota; Fungi; Basidiomycota; Agaricomycetes; Agaricales; Hydnangiaceae.
GGUAGGACUACCCGCUGAACUUAAGCAUUA